RNAcentral lists this ribosomal RNA (564 nucleotides) under uncultured bacterium. Its description in RNAcentral is "bacterial SSU rRNA". It matches the Rfam family "Bacterial small subunit ribosomal RNA", at positions 335 to 899 of the family's 1533-position model. The record is from RNAcentral.
ACUCUUACGGGAGGCAGCAGUAAGGAAUAUUGGUCAAUGGGCGGAAGCCUGAACCAGCCAUGCCGCGUGCAGGAAGACGGCCCUACGGGUUGUAAACUGCUUUUGUACCGGAAUAAACCUCGUUACGUGUAUCGAGCUGAAUGUACGGUAAGAAUAAGGAUCGGCUAACUCCGUGCCAGCAGCCGCGGUAAUACGGAGGAUCCAAGCGUUAUCCGGAUUUAUUGGGUUUAAAGGGUGCGUAGGUGGCUUUUUAAGUCAGGGGUGAAAGACGGUAGCUUAACUAUCGCAGUGCCUUUGAUACUGAUGAGCUUGAAUGAACUAGAGGUAGGCGGAAUGUGACAAGUAGCGGUGAAAUGCAUAGAUAUGUCACAGAACACCAAUUGCGAAGGCAGCUUACUAUGGUUUAAUUGACACUGAGGCACGAAAGCGUGGGGAUCAAACAGGAUUAGAUACCCUGGUAGUCCACGCCCUAAACGAUGAAUACUCGAUGUUGGCGAUAUACGGUCAGCGUCUAAGCGAAAGCGUUAAGUAUUCCACCUGGGGAGUACGCCCGCAAGGGUGAAA